Molecule: long non-coding RNA, 384 nt
Filed under: Homo sapiens (human)
Lineage: Eukaryota; Metazoa; Chordata; Mammalia; Primates; Hominidae
Description: HSALNT0293134
Source: RNAcentral
UGUGAUUGUUGAGAAGUCAACACAGGGACAAGGAAAUCUCAGAUGGUUGUCUACAGUUACAAGGGGGAUUUUUGGACUGAUUUGUGAUUUUUCUGGGAAUGCAACUCAAGUUAGAAGAGGCCAUUAUCUGAAAGAAGAAGAAGCACCAGCUGAUGUGUUGGUUAUUUUAGGGCGACAUUUGCAGUUGCUUGGGCAAUAUCAUGAGCCUCACCUCAUGCAGGUCUGGGUCCCAGACCCAAAGACUGCUCCUCCAUACUCAGAGAUACCAGCACUAACAGAGCAGCUCCUCUUCUUCAGUACAGAUGCUUCUCAACUUACAAUGAGGUUAUACCCUUAUAAACACAUGAGAUCGUAACCCCCUCGUUUUCUUCAUAUGUCUCCUAA